GAUGAGAACGUAGCGAAAUGCGAUAAGUAAUGUGAAUUGCAGAAUUCAGUGAAUCAUCGAAUCUUUGAACGCACCUUGCGCCUUUUGGUAUUCCGAAAGGCACACCUGUUUGAGCGUCAUGAAUACCUCAAUCUCCAUCUUUUCUUCGGAUUGAUGGGUGACUUGGAUGUUGAGCCCUGCUGGUAUGCUAUAUCAGCUGGCUUUAAACUUAUUAGCCGGCUCUGUACUGGAUCGGUUUGACUCGACGUGAUAAUAUUACCGUUGAGGAUGCAUGUCUCAUGCAGCCGGAAAGUAUCAAAGCAGCUUCUAGCUUGCCUUUAGUGCACUUUUACAUUUUAGACCUCAGAUCAGGUGGGACUACCCGCUGAACUUAAGCAUAUCAAUAAGCGGAGGA
This 394-nucleotide unclassified non-coding RNA is filed under the name soil metagenome. RNAcentral describes it as "partial contains 5.8S ribosomal RNA, internal transcribed spacer 2, and large subunit ribosomal RNA". The stretch from base 5 to 119 matches the Rfam family "5.8S ribosomal RNA", at positions 40 to 154 of the family's 154-position model. The record is from RNAcentral.